ACAGCUUUGGACAAAAGUCUAUAGCCAGUGCAUUCGUAACUCCCCAUGCACAAGAGCUGACUGUGGCUCUGGGAAGGCAUUUUACUCAUUUGCUUUCUUUUUUCUUAUAGUCUUCUUAUCCAGUUCUCAGGUGUUUACCACCUAUUAGAAUUUCACCUGUGUGGGUACUGUGUUUGAGAAAGUCCCAGGACUUGACAGCCGUAUAGGCCUCAUAAAAGGCAGCUCU
RNAcentral lists this long non-coding RNA (226 nucleotides) under Numida meleagris (helmeted guineafowl). Its description in RNAcentral is "SOX2 overlapping transcript exon 1 (ENSNMEG00000019317.1)". It matches the Rfam family "SOX2 overlapping transcript exon 1". Rfam says of the family: SOX2 overlapping transcript (SOX2OT) is a long non-coding RNA, containing at least 5 exons. Lineage: Eukaryota; Metazoa; Chordata; Aves; Galliformes; Numididae. The record is from RNAcentral.